CAAUACUUAUGUCUGCCGUUUGUAAGAAUUUUAAGCGCAUUAUGAUGAUAAUGCUUACCCUGUAAUAUGCACUUAUGCAGGCUAUUUAGUCAUUAUAUUACAAAGAAAAAUUGUACUGAUAAGAUGCAGCUUAUUCGUUGGCAUGGUAGUGAAUAAAGCAACGAAUAACACAACUUCCUAUGCAUUCAGUGACUUCUUCGAAACCGCUAAUCAUCUAUUAUCUUAUCGUUAACAACAGUGACAAUAAUAAGUGAUGAUCUGUGUUGUUUAGUGUUCACUUUACUUAGAACAAAUGUUGUAGCCAUUAAAGUAGAAGAUUUCGUAUCACAGUGAGCUACGUAUUUUUUACUGGAUUUUUUAAAAUCAAAAAUCAGUCCUAAAUUUACUGGAAUCUCGGUAAUACCAAAUUACCUUAUCAGAAGCAUUGUUGGGUGGAACUUGUGGUAGGAAUUCUAGAAAGUGGUUACUCAUUUAGCUCCUCAAAAUUAGACCUGACAGAAAGCAAGGCUUAGAUAGUGUAUUGGAAGGAUACUAAUAAACGACCGAUAAAUUAAUUCAAAACUACCGAUAAAAAAUAAUAAAUGAGAUAGCACGAUCUCAUAAUGCUGAAAUUCCACAUCAUUUGGUCUAUUUGGUAAAAUGUGGUAAAAAUAAGAAAGAAGCAGUUGAAUGUUGUAUAUGCCCAAAUAAGUCUUUGAUUUAAGAAAAAUAUUUUUCCCAACAAUAGGAAUAUGACUGUUAAUGCUUCUAUAUGAUCAUCAUAUAGAUCCAUUACCAAUGUCGCGGGCAUGCGAGGGAUUAUAUGUAAUAGUAUAGUAUGUAUCGUCAAACAAUGCAUAUGAAGACUAAUUAUUGUGUUAUACUGCAUAAACAUUGUGUGACAGGUUGUAUACUAUUAUGUAUAUGCAAAGAUUAAGUAGAACUAAGGAGUUCUACGGCUGGGAGUAUGUUAGUGCUUGCAUUGAAUAAGUCUAUGCAAGCAUUGGUAUAUUACGGACAUAUGAAAUCGUAUACGCAGCAACGGAAUACUCGAUUAUAUAGUGCACUCAAUGAUGCGCAGGUAUAGUGCGCAUGUAUCACAAUGCUAUGCAAAUAAUAUGCAAUAUGCUAUUGAUGCGCAAGUAUAUAGCAGUGAUAUACAACUAAUAUGCAGCGUGCUGUAUGAUAUUUGUUUUAUUGCUGUGUAUCAUAGUAAUUAAGAAUGGACAUAAUUGUUAUAGUAUGAUUCAUCUUGAUGCACAUGCAGGAUGCGCAUGUCAAUCAUUCUAGAAGUUAAUGACUUACGUAGGAUUAAGAUGAACCAUUAAAGGUAAUGUACUAAUGAAUCAAUUACGUAGGUUGAUUCAUUAACAUCUCUUUAUUUACAUUAAGUUCUUUGUUAUAUUUUAGUAUAAAUACUGUAAAGUUUGAUUGAAUAAAGUCAGUUAUUAACAUCAACUCAACGAGCUUGUUUCUAUUACAUUUCUCCGAGCUCAGGAGAAUUACUUCUACUCUAAGACUGUACCAAUGUGUAAGAAUGCGGUUUUAGCAGAAGGCUGAACAUAAUGGUGACCCCGACGUGAUGUCUUUUUGUAAAAGAUAUCAUCAUUGAACAACGGUCUUAGGGCAGUAGUAGUGUAGUGAAUGUCGUGUUAACUUGUCAAAACAUUGGUCGUGCAUUAUGGACAUUAAGUGAAGCAGCCCUGAAGGAAUUCUUUAAGCGUUUGGACUUGGUUGGCAACCUUAAAACCUCACCUCUAAGGCAGUUAUAAGGAACCAGUGAGAGGAGCAGAGGAAAAUAUUCGGAAUUGGUUGGCAGCGGAAAGUCACAGCUCUAAGGCAGUUGCAAAGGGCAACCGAAAAGAGCAACAUCCAAGUAUUUGGACUUGGUUAAAUACAAAAAUAGCAGCUUUAAGGCAGUUACACAAAGUAACUGAAAACAGCAAAAUCCAAAUCUGGACUUCAUUAACAAAAAACAAAAAAAAGUGCAGUGGAUACAAAAGUCCAUUAGGCGACUUUCAUUAAAACAAUUCAGAAGGAAUUGUUCCAGGCUAUAUAAUAGGCCAAAUGGUGUUAAUUGAAACACAAAAAUAAGUCCAUUAGGCGACUUUCAUUAAAACAAUUCAGAAGGAAUUGUUCCAGGCUAUAGGCCAAAUGGUGUUAAGUGUAACACAAAAAUAAGUCCAUUAGGCGACUUUAUCCGCGGAUAUCCCAAGUACUAAUUUAGUAUUUAUAUUAAAAAAAAAAAAUGCAGAGUUGGCAGAACACAAGCAACUCUAUAGAAAUUCUACGACUGCAGAUCGGGAAUUUCCGAAGUAUGAGCCUGAAAAUAACCGUGAUUUUGGAAGGCAAUUGAUUGGCAAAGCACUCAAAAUAAGAGUGUGGGAUAUCCACCCAAAAGUAUCAUAGCAAAGAAAUUGGUGAGAUUUUUGGGUAGCAGACACGAUAUCUCAAAGAGGAAAAUGGUCCUCAAAGUUAAAACGCAGUCCAACGGAACAGCUGUUUGUGAAUGGAAGCCGUGGAAGGUGGAAGUUGCAGCUGUGCAAAGGAUUAAACGUUGAGCUGGACACUCAGUUGUGAAAAGUGGAGCAGACAACGUGUUUGAUAAACAGAAAAUACAUAAACUGGAGUAGUCCGAUAGGUGACUACUAAAAGAAAGACUGGCGAUGCAUUGGAGCGUAUCGAAUGUGGAUUCGCAGUUCUUCAAAUAAUGAUAAACCUACGUAGUGCGCAAGUUUUUCAAACUAAACAAAACAUAAGGCCAUUAAUGGUAAAAAUGGCAGACAUCCAGGCGAUACCGGAACGGCAAAUGAGGAUCGGUAGUCAUGAUGGACAAUAGCGCAAGCUUAAACACAUAAAAAUAAAAAUAAAAACUUAAAGCUGUUUGUGCAUUGAAACCUAAAGGGGGUGGAGCUGACAGCUUAAUGAAUAAAAAAUUUAAAAGUUGUUUGUGCAUUAAAACCGUAAUGGGGUAGAGCUGACAGCUUAGUGAAAAAAUAAAUUCAAUUGAGAGUUGCAAACGGAAUUUUUUGAUCUUCACACGGAACUUAGAAAAUGUGAAAAGUGCAACUUAAUAAACAAAAUGACUUAAAUAGAAAUUGAUCUUGCAAUGAAAUCCAUAAGUGAGGAGGGAGCAGUCAAUUAAUAAAACAAUUUGUGAAAGUGCAUUUGGGCACUAAAUUAUAUCAAAAAGUGAUAAAAAAUUUAUUGUAGUAGCAAUGUCAUGGGAACCGAAUCUUUUGAGUGAUAACAUGCUCCUCAGCAGAUUGAAACCGAGCAGCAGUUUGGACGCAAAUUGUUGAACGGGAAAUAGGUAAUUUGGACGCAAUUUACUUAUCCUUAAUCUGCACUAUGAGUUGCAUUGAAUUCGAGAGAUUCGAUGAAAAUGAGAAUGUUACUUGCAAUAAAUAUAAUACUGGAUUCAUGAGGAAUCAAGUACAAGGACGCAUUGAAUCAAUAUAAAAAAGAGGGUCUUCGGAACAAGAUUGGUAACAGUUAUAAUUGAUAAAGUUAUUACGCAUAUGUGAUGUGUGAGACGAGACCAGUGAGAUAUUGAAAGAAUUCAGAAAUAUUAAUAAUCUGUGAUGGAAUAAAUAGAAAAGUAAAACUAUUGUUGAUAAGUAGCAAUUAAGAUUGCCUUACUAAAAACACACGUAAAGCAUCAUCAGUGCAUCGUAAUGAGUGAAAAUUUCAUCAGAAAGUGAAUAAUAUAAUCGAAAAACAAAAGUAAAAUAAUGAAUUCAGCAAAGAAAAUAAACGAAAUGAGGUAAUGGGACCGUACAUAGAGUGGCGCCAGUUUGAGUUGGAGAUCAAAAUUGUGGCGCGGUAACGAAGGUUCACCCUAAGCAGGAGUUUGGAACGUUCAUCCAACAGAAUCGUCAUCAUACCAAAUACAUCAUUUGAAAAACGGUAAACCGCACAAUGGUGCGGAAAUUUGUAAGUUGUUUUGUUAUUUAAAAUAUUUUAAUAAUUAAUCAAAACGCUGAGACUUACGAUUGAUGAGGCAAAUGAAUUUAAUAGAAAACAAAAAUUCGGCAAUUGUAUGUUCAUAUUCAAUGAUCACACAUAUUUUAAAAGAAUUGAUUAAAACUUAGAAAUUUGUAAAGUUUUAAUGUCCGGGAGACACUUACAGUUAUCGAUCAACCAUAACUGAAAGGUAUUUGUUGUUUGUGGAGCUUUCUUUCGUGAAAAUAAACAAAUAUUGCAGACGAGGUUCAGAAUUGACUAAUUAAUCAAUUGUGUUAUUAAUUCGUUAGAAUAAUGGUCGUCAAAAGACAUAUUUUAAUUUUUUUUUUUUUUUGUGAAACAUAUUCUAAUUUGAAUGAUUAUUGUCAAGUAUUUUAGUGACGUGAGUUGCGAAAUUGAAGGGACCUCAACUGAUUCCACAUGAGUAUAAUGUCGAGUUAUUGAUUUUGAUUUUUAAAAUUCAUUGAGUAUUAUGUUCGUUUUUAUGAAAUCGGAUAAUUUAUUUGAGAUUGAAAAAAUAUUUCUUUUGUUGAAAAAGAAGGUUUUGAAUCAUAAACUAGAGUAAUGAUACAUGAUCUUUAAUAAUAUUUUGUGCUAUUCAAAUAGAGGGUUCAAUAAUCAUUUUUUGAUAAAGGGAUCAAAUAAAUUUUUAAAAGUUAUGUUUAACUUUAUGUUUUCUGUUUUUCGGAUGAUGGUUUCGGAUUAAGUUUAAAGUAAAUAGUGAAAUGAAAUCGAUAUUGAGAUAAUGAUAAUCGGUAUUGUGUUUGAAAUACAGUGUUGGAUCAGGUGGGGAAGGUAUAAAAGUAUUAACGCCGUAAGUGCAGUCGAAAUUCAAAAUGGAAAGUACAUAAUACUUUUUAACGCAGCGUCAUUUUAAUACAAGGAAGCGUUGGAAUGUAGUUUUCCGUUUACUUGGUUAUUAAAUCGUUCACUUGAAAUUCAAAUUUUAGGCAAAAUUUCAGCAGGAAUUAUUAUCAGGCGUUUGUUAGAUUCAGAAUUUUGAUGGAAAUCUUUCAAAUGUAAUAAUACCUUCUGUUAGUAAUUAGAUAAUAAUAUAGCACCCGUCAUUGGUAUUACUUCAGCAAAUGUAGAAGGUAUGUGAAUUAAAAUCAAGUUAAAAAGAAAAUAUAAAUAAGAUAGUCAAUUCUUGAAUCUGUUUGUGCAAUAAGCGGUUCAACCAGUUAUUUGAAUUAAAAAUUUGUAUUCAGAUAAGUUGUCCGCACAGUAAUAUUAUACUAACAUUGUAAAAAAAAAAAAAAAAAAA
Molecule: long non-coding RNA, 5209 nt
Organism: Bradysia coprophila
Lineage: Eukaryota; Metazoa; Arthropoda; Insecta; Diptera; Sciaridae
Source: RefSeq, a predicted model, not a curated record